CCAAUAGCGUAUAUUAAAGUUGUUGCAGUUAAAAAGCUCGUAGUUGAAUUUCGGGAUUGACGUGACGGUCGUGCCUUACGGGGUAUGAACUGUCGCAGUUGAUUUCUCACCUUCUGGAGAAGCUCGAUGUCCUUAAUUGGGUGUCUUGCGGAACCAGGACCUUUACCUUGAAAAAAUUAGAGUGUUUAAAGCAGGCAUUUUGCUCGAAUACAUUAGCAUGGAAUAAUAGAAUAGGACGGCAUGGUUCUAUUUUGUUGGUUUCUAGGAUCACCGUAAUGAUUAAUAGGGAUAGUUGGGGGCAUUAGUAUUCAAUUGUCAGAGGUGAAAUUCUUGGAUUUAUUGAAGACUAACUACUGCGAAAGCAUUUGCCAAGGAUGUUUUCAUUAAUCAAGAACGAAAGUUAGGGGAUCGAAGACGAUCAGAUACCGUCGUAGUCUUAACCAUAAACUAUGCCGACUAGGAAUCAGACGAUGUUAAUUUUUUAAUGACUCGUUUGGCACCUUACG
Molecule: ribosomal RNA, 506 nt
Filed under: uncultured Glomeromycotina
Lineage: Eukaryota; Fungi; Glomeromycota
Description: partial small subunit ribosomal RNA
Rfam family: Eukaryotic small subunit ribosomal RNA
Source: RNAcentral